CCUUGUUAUUUGUCUUUCUUUUGAAUAUACUCCCGUUUGUUGGAACAAAAUAUCUCCCUCAUCUAAAAAAACCAAACCUUUUUUCCAUCUGUAUGCAAUAUCCUCCCAAACCAAAAACUGCAUUUUACCCCUUUGUUCUAUUUUUAGCCAUGGCAGUCAUCUUGGUUGGUUUGCCCGGUCACUGGACACAAAUUUUAAGCUAAAUACCCC
RNAcentral lists this long non-coding RNA (210 nucleotides) under Mytilus galloprovincialis (Mediterranean mussel). The record is from RNAcentral. Lineage: Eukaryota; Metazoa; Mollusca; Bivalvia; Mytilida; Mytilidae.